UUCAUAGGUCUUAGGGUCAUCAUCAUUAUGAUCAACCUCAUUUGAUAAAUCAUCUUGUACCAAUAAAUUUAAUCUAGUUGGUAUAUGACGUUCUCGUGUAGACCUUCGAAGAGGUAUUUGUACAACCUGUUCACCUUGCAUUGGAUUUAGUUGUUGCUCAAUUUGGUUUGGAACUGGUUCAUUAACCUGUUCUUGAACUUCAUUCUAGUUGGUACAUGACGUUCUCGUGUAGACUUUCGAAGAGGUACUUGUACAACCUGUUCACCUUGUAUUGGAUUUCGUUGUUGCUCAAUUUGGUUUGGAACUGGUUCAAUAACCUGUUCUUGAACUUCAUUUAGUUCUUGAACUUCAACCGUUGAAGAUGACAAUUUCCUUGGCAACUUCAAAACAU
This 391-nucleotide long non-coding RNA is filed under the name Nicotiana benthamiana. RNAcentral's name for it is "long non-coding RNA (NBEN_LNC018489)". Lineage: Eukaryota; Viridiplantae; Streptophyta; Magnoliopsida; Solanales; Solanaceae. The record is from RNAcentral.